Molecule: ribosomal RNA, 301 nt
Filed under: uncultured bacterium
Lineage: Bacteria
Description: partial 16S ribosomal RNA
Rfam family: Bacterial small subunit ribosomal RNA
Source: RNAcentral
CAGCCGCCACGGGAAUACGGAGGGCGCGAGCGUUACCCGGAUUUACUGGGCGUAAAGGGCGUGUAGGCGGCCUGGGGCGUCCCAUGUGAAAGGCCACGGCUCAACCGUGGAGGAGCGUGGGAUACGCUCAGGCUAGAGGGUGGGAGAGGGUGGUGGAAUUCCCGGAGUAGCGGUGAAAUGCGCAGAUACCGGGAGGAACGCCGAUGGCGAAGGCAGCCACCUGGUCCACUUCUGACGCUGAGGCGCGAAAGCGUGGGGAGCAAACAGGAUUAGAUACCCCAGUAGUCCCUGUCUCUUAUAC